UUCUUAUUGGAUGACUGUCAUGUUGUGAUUAGAUGUCAACUCCUUAAAAAAUAAAAUGCUUUGUUUUCAUUGAUCAAUCAGAACAUCACACACGUGACCGUCAUCAUCC
Glycine soja is the source of this 109-nucleotide non-coding RNA. Lineage: Eukaryota; Viridiplantae; Streptophyta; Magnoliopsida; Fabales; Fabaceae. The record is from Rfam.